GACGAACGCUGGCGGCGUGCUUAACACAUGCAAGUCGAACGGAAAGGCCCUGCUUUUGUGGGGUGCUCGAGUGGCGAACGGGUGAGUAACACGUGAGUAACCUGCCCUUGACUUUGGGAUAACUUCAGGAAACUGGGGCUAAUACCGGAUAGGAGCUCCUGCUGCAUGGUGGGGGUUGGAAAGUUUCGGCGGUUGGGGAUGGACUCGCGGCUUAUCAGCUUGUUGGUGGGGUAGUGGCUUACCAAGGCUUUGACGGGUAGCCGGACUGAGAGGGUGACCGGCCACAUUGGGACUGAGAUAGGGCCCAGACUCCUACGGGAGGCAGCAGUGGGGAAUAUUGCACAAUGGGCGGAAGCCUGAUGCAGCAACGCCGCGUGCGGGAUGACGGCCUUCGGGUUGUAAACCGCUUUCGCCUGUGACGAAGCGUGAGUGACGGUAAUGGGUAAAGAAGCACCGGCUAACUACGUG
RNAcentral lists this ribosomal RNA (468 nucleotides) under uncultured bacterium. RNAcentral's name for it is "partial 16S ribosomal RNA". It matches the Rfam family "Bacterial small subunit ribosomal RNA", at positions 28 to 507 of the family's 1533-position model. The record is from RNAcentral.